RNAcentral lists this ribosomal RNA (264 nucleotides) under uncultured Planctomycetota bacterium. RNAcentral describes it as "uncultured planctomycete partial 16S ribosomal RNA". It matches the Rfam family "Bacterial small subunit ribosomal RNA", at positions 567 to 828 of the family's 1533-position model. Lineage: Bacteria; Pseudomonadati; Planctomycetota. The record is from RNAcentral.
AGCACGUAGGUGGGUUUGUAAGUCAGAUGUGAAAGCCUUCUGUUCAAAGGAAGAACGGCAUCUGAAACUGCAAAUCUUGAGUGUAGGAGGGGAGAGUGGAACUUCUGGUGGAGCGGUGAAAUGCGUAGAUAUCAGAAGGAACGUCGGCGGCGAAAGCGACUCUCUGGCCUAUUACUGACACUGAGUGUGCGAAAGUUAGGGGAGCAAACGGGAUUAGAUACCCCGGUAGUCCUAACCGUAAACGAUGGGCACUAAGUAGAGGGG